GCCUAGGUAGUGUAAUGGAAAGCAUGGCAGACCGGAUAUCUGUAAGUGCGGGUACGAGUCUCGCCUGAGGUC
Molecule: non-coding RNA, 72 nt
Organism: Dictyocaulus viviparus (bovine lungworm)
Lineage: Eukaryota; Metazoa; Nematoda; Chromadorea; Rhabditida; Metastrongylidae
Source: Rfam